RNAcentral lists this ribosomal RNA (379 nucleotides) under uncultured cyanobacterium. Its description in RNAcentral is "bacterial SSU rRNA". It matches the Rfam family "Bacterial small subunit ribosomal RNA", at positions 376 to 770 of the family's 1533-position model. The record is from RNAcentral. Lineage: Bacteria; Bacillati; Cyanobacteriota.
CGAAAGCCUGACGGAGCAAGACCGCGUGAGGGAGGAAGGCUCUAGGGUUGUAAACCUCUUUUAUCAGGGAAGAAGCUCUGACGGUACCUGAGGAAUCAGCAUCGGCUAACUCCGUGCCAGCAGCCGCGGUAAUACGGAGGAUGCAAGCGUUAUCCGGAAUCAUUGGGCGUAAAGCGUCCGCAGGUGGGAGUUCAAGUCGAUUGUCAAAGGCAGUAGCUUAACUACUGAAAGGCAGUGGAAACUGAACAACUAGAGUGCGGUAGGGGUAGAGGGAAUUCCCGGUGUAGCGGUGAAAUGCGUAGAGAUCGGGAAGAACACCAGUGGCGAAAGCGCUCUGCUGGACCGGCACUGACACUCAGGGACGAAAGCUAGGGUAGCG